UUUAUGUGUUUCAAUAUAGUUAAUUUAUUUAAAAUUUUAUUAUUGUUCCGGAGUGAGAGGCUAGGCCUUCUCCGUUUAUUUUCGGGAUGAUAGGCGUUGCCUUUCCCGACUGAUCGUUAUGGUAGGCUAUGCCUUCACGAUCAGAGAAACACGUGGUAGGCGUUGCCUCCGUGAAUAAAAAAAAUAAAAGUCAAAAAUGUCAGACUAAGUCUCCUCGGAUCUUGAAAUAAGUAAAAGUCAAAAUGGUAGACCAUGUAUCCUCGGACUUUGAAAAAUGAUCAAUAUGGUAGUCUAAAACUCCUCGGAUCAUGUGGUAGGCUAAGCCUCCAAUUUUAUUUAUGCUCUUUAAAUUUCUGCAAUUUAAAUUUAUGCCUUUAGUUUCUUCAUUUAAAUUAUGCAUUUCAAUUUCCGUCUUUAUAUAUAAUUAUUCUAUGAAUUCGGUUAUCAUAUCAAAUUUGACAAAGCUCAAAAUAAAUGCCCUUGAUAUUACGGGAAAUAGUUAUAUGACCUGGGCAGUGGGUGCAAAGAUGCACCUAAGAGAAAAUAAGCUUUGAGAAAUCAUCGAUAAGUUGAAACUAUAUCGGAUGAGAAAAAGAUAAAGCCAUGAUAAUUUACACCACUUUAAUGAUGGUUUAUAAGAUGAAGUGUAUCAUGAGAAAGAUCUAGAAGAUCUUUGAAUAAUCAAAUCCUUGAAAGAAAGGAUUCACCAAAUUGUUGGAGUUGAUGUAAAUCCUCUGUGAGAAUUGAAAAGAAAAGAAACUCAUGAUACUAAACCAUCAAGUCGGUCCUUCUUGAAAAGGAAAAGGGUGUGGAUGCGGUUGAAACCGCUAUCGUAGUCGUGGAAGAGGACGAGGAAGAAGAUUCCGUCCCUAUGAGAAUAAUGGAAACUUCCACGAAAAAUGAAAGUAGUCGGGUGAUAAAAGGCAAACAGAAAAGGUUUGCUAUAGAUACGGCUAGAAAGAAAAUUGGGUACGUAGCUUUCGUACGCCAAAUAUUUAGCCGAUCUAUAUCGAGAUUCAAAAAGAAAAAGAGAAAGGAAGUGAAAUAAACUUCAUCUCUUAUGAGCCCGGACCAUCUUUUCAUGGCUUGAAUACUCAUCUUGAUGAUUCAGAUUUUCUGGUUGGUCCAGAAAAUAAAAAUAAAAUAUCGAUGUGAUAUGAGAAUUAUCUUCAUGAAUAAGAUUUUGAGAGUCAGGAUGGAUAUACCUGACAGAUAUUGAGUCAUCGUACAUGACUACUAAAGGUAACAAAUAUCUUUCCUCUCUCAAAAUAAAUAAGUAUAGUAUCUAGUAAUAUAAAAAUUACUAUUGACUCUAGAAGAGCUUAUGAUGAAAAGACAUGCAUAAGAAAAAGAUGGCAAAAUUAUGAGUGGUAAACCUGAAGUUUACUGAUAUAUAUAGCCAUCUCCAAUAAUGUUAUCGACAUUACUGUGAAAUGUUGAAAAACCAGAAGUUUUUCAUAUAGCAUGUCUUAAAAGAAAAUAAAGGAAACCAUCAUGGGUGAUGAAUCAUCAAGCAAGUUCACUAGAUGUGAUUUCUUUAACCAGAUCCCAAAUUAGGAUCUCAAUCUAAAGGAUUUGAAACAUAAUUCAUCCCAAAUGGGAAAACUGGAUAUGUUAUUGGUUCUAGAGUGGGAUUCAGUACGAGAUUUUAGACAUGGAGUGUCAUCAUCUCGAGGGAGAGAAUUAAAGAAUCCUAGUGAGUGGAACAUUGAGAAAUUAUGUUCGCACUUGAAAAAGAACUUGAUAAAGUAAAUUCAAGUAAGAUGAUCCCCAUGAUCAGGUGUAAACAUGGACAACUGCAUGUAAUAACGACAUAUACAAUCCAAAGGGAUAAAGUAUAUGGAUAAUUAGAAAUAUGCUCGCAAUUUUGCUAGAAGCAUAUGAUAAGCUGAUAAAAUGAGAUAUGUGAAAUGGAUUACAAUGAAAAAUAGAAUAAUCCAUUUACAAAAUGCAUGCCAGACAUUUUGAUGAAAUAAUGAAAUCUUAUACUCCAGCUGAAAAUGCUCCAAUAAGAAAAUAGUGUCCUAAACGGACGAUAUAUGAGUCUAUGGCACGUUAGAGACGUGAUAGAUCACUUUGGUUCCAAAGAGUCCUCGAAAAGGAGAAAAAAUAUAAAUAGAGGAUGAAUCUCAUGAUGAGACCGUUGAUAUGGUUAAUAUAAUAGUCAUGUACCCGUGUAAAUCAUUGAUGAUGAUAAAGAGAUCUCGAUUAACCAUAUCAGUACAGGUAAAAAGAUGGAACCAAAUAGAAAAUAGAUUGUCAACAAUAAAUAAAAAAGCGCUAUAUAAAUUAUAAUUAUAAAUCUACCUCUAUGUAUGAGGGUAGAGUGAAUUUAUUAGCCAUCAAUUCGAUAUAAAACACGUUAGAAAAACGAGAAAUUUUUGGACCAAAAGUCCAAGGUAUAUAUUUUUCUAGAUAAUGAAAUGAAAGAUGACCUUGAGGUAUGAAAAACAGCUUGUUCCAAGGUCACUGGAGAAAAUUUAAAAUAGAUGCAAUAUAUUGAUAUGUCUGGCAGGACAAAAAUGACUUGAGUUGCAUCUUGAUAUUUAGAAGUCCCUGGAGAGUUAAAGAUGCUCUCGGGAAUGUUUAAACUCUGGAAAAGUUAGAACAAGCCGUAUAUAAGGUAUCUUGAACCAGUAACUGGUGAUAUAUUUACGACACAGUUUGCCGAUUGCCAUUUGAUGAGGAUGAGUUUCUAGCGUUAGGGGGAGGAAUUAGAAAAAAAUCCCUAAGAGAUUACAUGGUGAACAUAGUCGUUAUUACACCUUGACUCCCCAAUGAAUUAAUGAGAGCUGUAAAUUCAGAAAAUUGUGCAUUUGCAUAAUUUGGUAAACCAGUUACCAAAUGUGUUCACAGAUACGACAUGAUAUACCCGCUGAAAAUGUUCCAUCAAGAGUUGAUGUUCCUAAAGAACAAACUGAUGCUAACAAAAUGAAUGAGCCUAGGGUUCAGUUAAAGAGGGGGAGACUAGCGGGUUCUAAAGAUAAAAAAUCCCCGAAAAAAGUUUUUGAGCAAAGCAGAAAGGUUCGGAAAGAACCUAAUAUUGAAAGAUGUCUGAAAGAAGACAUAAGUGGAAAGGUUCCAGAAGAACCUGAUACUGAAAAUGUCUGAAAGAAGAUAUAGAUGAAAAGGUUCAAGAAGAACCAAAUAAAGAUAUGGAUCCAGAUGACGAGAAGUGAACAGAAAAGUAUGAGAUUUCCAUCAACUACGCACUUGAUGAAAAGUAAUAGAUAAAAGAUGUUGAUGGAAUGUUCUCUUUUUCUGUGUCCAAAGAUAUCGAUCAUGAAAAUGAUGAUCCCGAUCCAAGGUCCAUUUAGGAAUGUUAAAAGACAUGAUUGGGAGGAGUGGCAGAAGGCCAAUCGAAUUGAAUUAUUCUCCCUAAAUAAAAGGAAUGUCUUUGGACCUAUAGUCAUAACGCCUGAGAAUAUAAAUCUUGUUGGGUAUAAGUGGGUAUUCGUGAGAAAAGUAACACGAUAUAAAAUCUGAUUAGUUGCCCAAGGUUUUUCUCAGAGACCGGAAAUUGAUUUUGAGGAAACGUAUUUCCCGGUAAUGGAUGCAAUUACUUUUAGAUUUUGAUGAGCCUAACGGCGUCUAAAAAUCUUAAAAUGCAUCUCAUGGACGUUGUGACUGCGUAUUUGUAUGGAUUGUAGGAUAACGAUAUAUAUAUAUAUAGCAUUGAAAGAAAAAUCCACGGAGAUUUGUUCGGUCAGUUACAGCGAUCACUAUAUGGAUUAUAAAGAAAUCGUCAUCUGGCUUUGUGAUCAUUGAUGUAUAUGUAGAUGACCUGGACAUAAUUGGAACUCAAAAGGAGGUUGAUGAUGCUCGAACUCAUAUGAAAGAGGAGUUCGAAAUGAAAGAUCUCGGCAAGACAAAAUUUUGUCUUGGGCUCCAGACAGAGCAUAUCUGAGAAGGAAUAUUUGUGCAUCAAUCAAAUCAUACGAAAAGGUUAUUGAAACGCUUUUGUAUGAAUAAAGCGACUCAUUUGAGUACUCCAAUGGUAAAUAGAUCUCUCGAUGUUGAAAAGAUGUUUAAAAGAUCCUGGUAAGAUCUUAUAUAAAUAAGUACUUUGGAGAUGCUAAUAGUAAUAAAGCAUAUAUGAGCUUAUAUAUAUCUUGCGAGUUGUGUUUGAUUAAAUAUACUUUUAGACACUAAUGUCUUUGCGAGAUAUAGCUCAUUUCCUAUUUAUGGAAAUUAGAACGGCGUCGAGAACAUAUCCGUUCUCUCCAAGGUACGUAUUGAUUUAGGAUUGAUUUAUCCUAGAAACCCCGAGUUUGGUAUGGUUUUGCAGAUAAUACAUGAUAUUUAUAAAGUCGAACACAAACCGGAUAUGGUUUUACAAUUGGUGGAACCGCGAUCUCUUGGCGGUCCCAGAAACAAACUCUGGUUGCGACAUCUUUGAAUCAUACAUAAACUAUUGCGCUUCACGAAGCAUGUCGAGAAUGUAUGUGGCUUCGGUCAAUGAGUCACCACAUACAAGAAUCAAACGGAAUAGUUAACGAGAAAGAGCCGAGGAAUAUAUUUGAAGAUAAUUCGGCUUGUGUCGCUCAACUCAAAGAAGGCUACAUUAAGAGUGACAGAACAAAGCACAUCCCUCCAAGAUUUUUCUCGUACAUAAGAGAGCUCGAGAAAAAUAAAGAAGUGGACAUCGAGUAUGUACGGUCAUGCGACAAUCAGGCUGAGUUGCUCACAAAGGCUCUUCCCACUACAACAUUUCUGAAACACGUCUAUGGUAUCAGAAUGCGGUAUUUGCGUGACCUGUGACGAGAAAGCUAGGUCCACUAUUCUCAGGGGGAGAUUACGGCAGUGUACUCUUUUUUCCUUGUCAUAGUUUUUAUCCCAAUGGAUUUUUUCAUGACUAGGGUUUUAACGAGGCACUGCGUAAUACAAAAUGGAUAAUCAAGUGGGAGUGUUGAAGAUAAUAUCAAAUAUAUAGUGAUUAUCCAUUAAAGUUUUGUCUUUUUAUAGACACUAAAUAUCUCUCCAUUUUAUAUAAUUAUUGUAGAAAUAUCUGGUCAUUAACCGACCUUCUCUACUCCUAUAAAUAGGAGUUGUAUCAAAGCUCAAUAAUAAUAAUCAUCUCACGUACCCUCUAAUAACUCCUUCUCUCUUUAAGUUAUCUCAAAAACAAGCAAAUCAUAUAUAUAUAUAUAUAUAUAUAUAUAUAUAUAUAUAUUAACAAUAAAUAAAUCUCUGAUAUAUAAACACUCACCUAUUAUUAUUCAACAUUUAUCAAUAUAUGAUCAUUUUUAUGAAGAAUCAUAUUGUUUUUUGUAAUAGUUACUUUUAUUUAUUGAAUAUAAAGUAUAAAAUAAAUAUUAAAUUAACUCUUAAGGCUAUUUAUUUCUGAAAUAUUUGUAACCUCUUCCAUUGAUUGUUGUUCCAUCUACAAAUUUUCCAUGUAAGUUUUAUUUUCAUUUUUUUUUUUGUGAUUGUGUAAUCUGUUUUAAGAAUUUAUAAAAAAAAUGACGAUAAAAAUUUCCUAAAAUUUAAACAAACAUAAAACUAUUAUGAAUUAGGUUCUAGUUCUGAUUUUUUUUAGAAAUAUCAUAACUUUUUACAAGUUGAACGGAUGAUUGCUAUCUACAAAGGAUUUUUUACCGUAUAUUGUUAGUACUUCCAACCUUAGUUGAUGUAUUUAAAAACAGAAGCUCAUAGAAAAUUAGUUUGUCCGAGUAUGUACACAAUAAAAUGAGUUAUCAAUGAUAUCACGAGAAUAUUAAAGGGCUACAAUGAUAUUUUGCAUGGUUCUAAUUGCAUAUCAAAAAUGCAAAAAGAUAUAACUGGGGGCAGAUUUUUUUAUGCGCUUUAGGCGCCAUUCCGAUCCGGACCGGCACUGUGUGAAACAAACUUCUUUUUUGUAACUUGAGAUUCACCACGCAAGAUCAAAGGUUUGAGAUAGUGAGCUUUACAUCGCAAUAGUGGUAAGACCAAGUUACCUUAUGAUCAAACGGUUAGUUAACAACUCGAUUUCCAUGAAACAAGGCAUGACACGUAAACUUGAGAUGCACGAGUACAUCUGGAUCGAGUUGAACAAUGUAAAAGACAAGACAAGCUCAUCAUUUGAGAAACAACAUUACGAA
Molecule: long non-coding RNA, 6080 nt
Organism: Brassica napus (rape)
Lineage: Eukaryota; Viridiplantae; Streptophyta; Magnoliopsida; Brassicales; Brassicaceae
Exons: 2
Source: RefSeq, a predicted model, not a curated record